This 468-nucleotide ribosomal RNA is filed under the name uncultured bacterium. RNAcentral's name for it is "partial 16S ribosomal RNA". It matches the Rfam family "Bacterial small subunit ribosomal RNA", at positions 28 to 507 of the family's 1533-position model. The record is from RNAcentral.
GGCGAACGCUGGCGGCGUGCUUAACACAUGCAAGUCGAACGGAAAGGCCCUGCUUUUGUGGGGUGCUCGAGUGGCGAACGGGUGAGUAACACGUAAGUAACCUGCCCUUGACUUUGGGAUAACUUCAGGAAACUGGGGCUAAUACCGGAUAGGAGCUCCUGCUGCAUGGUGGGGGUUGGAAAGUUUCGGCGGUUGGGGAUGGACUCGCGGCUUAUCAGCUUGUUGGUGGGGUAGUGGCUUACCAAGGCUUUGACGGGUAGCCGGCCUGAGAGGGUGACCGGCCACAUUGGGACUGAGAUACGGCCCAGACUCCUACGGGAGGCAGCAGUGGGGAAUAUUGCACAAUGGGCGGAAGCCUGAUGCAGCAACGCCGCGUGCGGGAUGACGGCCUUCGGGUUGUAAACCGCUUUCGCCUGUGACGAAGCGUGAGUGACGGUAAUGGGUAAAGAAGCACCGGCUAACUACGUG